AAUAAAUUACGGAUGUGCGUCUUUACGUCAAGGUCGUGAUUCUACAUAACAACAUCCGCUUGACCUCGCAAUGCCAUGAAGAAGAAAGGCGUGGAACAUUUGCUUAAGAUCUUCAGCAGAUGUUUGAGAAAAAAAAUCAUCAUCCUCUUCGUCACUCUUCAUCCGUAUUUGGGGUAACAAACACCUGCUUCCCACAAGAGACUGGACCUCUGAAGUCAGAUGUAACCAAGUAUAAAUUUACUGGUACAAUGUUAGAUGGAUCAUCAGACCUGCACCUUCCUUGAACAUGUUGGUAACUUACUCUGUAUUUGUUCACGGUGGUCACCCCAGGGUUUCAGGACUCAAAACGAGUGCUCUAUGGAUUGAACAUAAAAUGUGGAUCAACACUCCAACCAUCUGCAUUAGGGACUGAAAAAAGGAUGCCCUCUGUAGCUGGGAAUGUUAGAUCAGGCGGAUCAACAUUCCAUCCAUCUGCAUUAGGAUCUACCUUAGAGACACUCACUGGAGCUGUAAAUGGAAGCCGGUCACUUACUUUGCAUUCGUCCUUGGUGGUCACCCCAGGGUCUCUAGAGUGAAAAUUACUCAAUCUAUGGAUUAAACAGAAAAUUUAGUUUUAUGAAGUGCAAUUUGGGACAUUCCUCCAGUUGUCGGCAACUUUGUGAAAAAGGCUGGAAACUAAAAUGCAGAAUUCUGGCCUGGUGUUUGGUCCGUGCUGUCUUUGACUCUUGCAUCUCCAUCAUCCUGACCCUCUUUAGCAGCCUGUCCAUGUAUUUAUUCGGAGGCCACCAUGAGCACCCAUCUGCAUAAUAU
Molecule: long non-coding RNA, 810 nt
Organism: Paramisgurnus dabryanus
Lineage: Eukaryota; Metazoa; Chordata; Actinopteri; Cypriniformes; Cobitidae
Source: RefSeq, a predicted model, not a curated record